AAAGGAAUAGACGGGGGCCCGCACAAGCAGUGGAUUAUGUGGUUUAAUUCGAAGCAACGCGAAGAACCUUACCAGGGCUUGACAUGGGGAUGACCGCUCUAGAGAUAGAGCUUCUCUUCGGAGCAUCCCACACAGGUGGUGCAUGGUUGUCGUCAGCUCGUGUCGUGAGAUGUUGGGUUAAGUCCCAUAACGAGCGCAACCCCUAUUGCUAGUUGCUACGCAAGAGCACUCUAGCGAGACUGCCGUUGACAAAACGGAGGAAGGUGGGGACGACGUCAAAUCAUCAUGCCCCUUAUGUCCUGGGCUACACACGUAAUACAAUGGCGUUUAACAGAGGGAAGCAAAGCUGCGAGGCAGAGCAAAUCCCUAAAAGGCGUCUCAGUUCGGAUUGCAGGCUGCAACUCGCCUGCAUGAAGUCGGAAUUGCUAGUAAUCGCGGAUCAGAAUGCCGCGGUGAAUACGUUCCCGGGCCUUGUACACACCGCCCGU
Molecule: ribosomal RNA, 488 nt
Filed under: uncultured bacterium
Lineage: Bacteria
Description: bacterial SSU rRNA
Rfam family: Bacterial small subunit ribosomal RNA
Source: RNAcentral